Molecule: long non-coding RNA, 766 nt
Filed under: Ananas comosus (pineapple)
Lineage: Eukaryota; Viridiplantae; Streptophyta; Magnoliopsida; Poales; Bromeliaceae
Description: long non-coding RNA (ACOM_LNC021873)
Source: RNAcentral
CAUCUCCUUUUCAUGUACUCUCCCUUUUGCUCUCUCUGUGGUCGGUGGGUACUGGGUACUACUUACUUCCGUAACCAAUUUAAUAAGUGCCGUUUGAGUAGAGCUUUCCAAUUUACUAUUACUAUGCUCGAGAAGCAAUGUAUUGGGCGAGGAUUGAUUUAUUAUACUAUGCUCAAACUGCAGACUUAAACUUUUAGACUGAACGGAUUCUAAUAAAUGCGUGUUAUCUAGUAAUUGUAUAGAUUCCGGUUGCGCCAGAAUUCCCUCAAUAUCUGCAGAAUGACAGAGUCCUCAACUAGACCAGAAGAAGUUCAAGAACCAUCACAGAAAUUGCAGCCAUGCCCAUUUCAGCAUUCAUACAGUUUAGGAAUAGCAUUAUCCUCCAAAUGCACUGUAGUAAAUGAGGAAAAUUGCAUUGUAAACAACUAAUAGAUAACUAUUGGGUAAAUUGCAUAUUUGGUCCUUAAACUAUACGGCGGGUGACAUUUUAAUUUCCAAACUUUAAUUUGUUGUAAUUUCUGAAUCGAACUUUUAGAAUUAUUACUAUUAAGUUUCACAACCUAAUUUAGUUGAUUAAAUAUUAACGCAUUGCUAAUAUAAACGUCACAUCUUAAUUAUUAGCACAGCAUCAAUUACAAUAUUGCUACAUCACUUCUACGUAAGCAAUAUAUCGAUAUUUAGUCAGCUAAAUUAAGUUCUAGAAUUUAAUUGCAACAAUUUUGAAAGUUCGAGCAAGAAAUUAGAAUAAAUUAAAAUUUAAUAGGAU